This 259-nucleotide ribosomal RNA is filed under the name uncultured bacterium. RNAcentral's name for it is "partial 16S ribosomal RNA". It matches the Rfam family "Bacterial small subunit ribosomal RNA", at positions 793 to 1050 of the family's 1533-position model. The record is from RNAcentral.
GUCCACGCCGUAAACGGUGAGAGCUCGUCGUAGUGGGUAUUGACCCCUGCUGUGACCAAGUUAACGCAUGAAGCUCUCCGCCUGGGAAGUACGGUCGCAAGACUAAAACUCAAAGAAAUUGACGGGGGCCCGCACAAGCGGUGGAGCAUGUUGUUUAAUUCGAAGCAACGCGCAGAACCUUACCUGGAUUUGACAUCUCGGGAAUCUUCCUGAAAAGGAAGAGUGCCUUCGGGAACCCGAUGACAGGUGCUGCAUGGCU